UACGAAGGGUGCAAACGUUGCUCGGAAUUAUUGGGCGUAAAGAGCUUGUAGGCGGUUUGUCGCGUCUGCUGUGAAAUCUCAAGGCUCAACCUUGAGCUUGCAGUGGGUACGGGCAGACUAGAGUGUGGUAGGGGAGACUGGAAUUCCUGGUGUAGCGGUGAAAUGCGCAGAUAUCAGGAGGAACACCGAUGGCGAAGGCAGGUCUCUGGGCCACUACUGACGCUGAGAAGCGAAAGCGUGGGGAGCGAACAGG
Molecule: ribosomal RNA, 253 nt
Filed under: uncultured bacterium
Lineage: Bacteria
Description: partial 16S ribosomal RNA
Rfam family: Bacterial small subunit ribosomal RNA
Source: RNAcentral